ACUCCUACGGGAGGCAGCAGUGGGGAAUCUUCGGCAAUGGGCGCAAGCCUGACCGAGCCAUGCCGCGUGAGUGAUGAAGGUUUUCGGAUUGUAAAAGCUCUUUUCGUCGGGGACGAUAAUGACGGUACCCGAAGAAGAAGCCCCGGCUAACUUCGUGCCAGCAGCCGCGGUAAUACGAAGGGGCUAGCGUUGUUCGGAAUUACUGGGCGUAAAGCGCGCGUAGGCGGAUCGUUAAGUCAGGGGUGAAAUCCCGGGGCUCAACCCCGGAAC
RNAcentral lists this ribosomal RNA (270 nucleotides) under uncultured bacterium. RNAcentral's name for it is "partial 16S ribosomal RNA". It matches the Rfam family "Bacterial small subunit ribosomal RNA", at positions 335 to 621 of the family's 1533-position model. The record is from RNAcentral.